GGGGGUAAUUGAGCCUGCCCUCCCCCCAUCGCAGAGCAGAUAUUCUCCCCCUUUCAGUAAUCGGCUCAUAUGGGUCCCACUGACCUACACCCUCCCCCCUCGGCUGAGUCUCUUGGCACCUGGAUGUGUGUGUGGGUGGGGAGGGGAAUCCAAUCUCCCUUUCCCUCCAUCUGGCCUAGUGGACAAAGGGCAGGGGGACCAUCUGGUCCCGCCAGGGUGGGGGAGGGGCCCACAGUGGCAGUCCCAAGGGGAAGGGGGAGGGGCGGCGCUCCGGAGACAGCAAAAGCAUGUGAGGUCUAAUUGUAUCACUUUAUUUCAGGGACCUCCACAGUCAGUCUUCUCAUCCCGUUCCCAAACCUCAGAGCAGGAAAUGGGCUUGGUUGAGAAGAUUCAUGCUUGGUGACCUGGGGAGGUGUGCAGGUCUCCCCCCCCCCCCGCCCCCGCAAGAAGAAGCGAGGAGAUUUGAAAAGCAGACGGGUGCACCUCCCCUUCCGAGGAAGCAAUUCUGGUCUGGGACCAGUUGGAAUGGGAAACUGCACAUGUACCUGUGCAAACAUGUGAUGCAAAGCUACACAGGAAUGUGGUGUCUGUCGGUCCAGUCGUGUGGACCGACCCCAGUGCUGCUCCCACGGGAGAGGUUCUGUUUGGGAUGGAUCUAAACAAGCAUACAUGUUUCUAUCUGUGGCCAGAAGGAAUGGCUGUCCUGUAGAGCAGCCAAAGAGGGAGAUGGACCAGAAAGUAAAGUAAGGCAGAAGUGAGAGCUGAGCAGGGAGCUGGCAGGAGAAGCUCAGGGAUUACCCACAAUCAGAGUUCUCCCCUUGAAUCCGAGGCUUUUUCCACUUGAUUUUACCUCCUUGAUCUGAUCUGUUGCUGCAAGAGAAAAACAGAAAUGACAGGAACCCAGACAGAUUAUAGACAGACCUGUUGCAGGUGAGGCAGAAACCAGAGACCAGGAGAAGACAGCAAGAGAUCCUAGAGUAGGCAGUCUGUCCCCGCUAUCAGCAGGUCUGAGUCUCAUGCUAGCCCUUGCAGGAAAUCCAGCAGCCCCGUAUGCCACUCAUCAGGCUUGUCCAAGUAACAGGGAUGCCCCGCCCCUUCCAUGACCAGCACUCUGUGGUUGGGCAGCUGCUUCAGGUGUUGAAAGCUGGAGGAGCCCAUGGGGUCCUGGUCUCCAUAUACAAUGAGAGCUGGAGUCUGAGAGGAAGGAAAGGAGGACAGAAUCGGGGGGCUUGUCGCACCAGCCCACCUUCUAAUGGUUAGCUUCCGGCCUCACCACCUCUAUAAUGUCUUCCUGCCCUCCUGAGAAGAGACUAGCUGAUCCAGUGGGUGGAGACAUGGGUUUGUACUUUCCCUAGUACACAGUUUUAUACAGGGAUUGGCAUAGUAGUCUAAGUCAACCAAAAGGAAUCUCCCCAAAACCACCCCAUUGGUUACCCAGCUCCCAGGUGAAGAAGCCCCAGGGAUGGACCCCACCUUCCUCCUGAGACACCAUCUCAGUGACACAUGCACACACACACACACACCAGGUACCUUCACACUGGCGUAGUCCCCAGCAUUGACUUUGUCUGUGCAGAUGGGAGCCACUGGAACAUAGCCCUGGAGCUGGGACCCAGGGGCCACGAGGAAGGGCAGUGAAUACAUGCCACUUAACGAUGGACUGAUCACAACUGGGGGUCCCAGCUCCAAGGCAUCCACCACGGCAGCUAGGAAGCUGCCAGGGGCCAGUUCCCCAAUAGGGGCGGGGGCCACCGCUUCCUUGGAUCGCCCAAGACCUGCAGGGAUUCAGUGUAGGAGAGACAAGGACAAUGAACGGGAAGGGUCCCUUCCUCUGCUCUGUGCCCAGGUUCAUAUAACAUCCAGCAGACUGAAUUCACACCCACAGCCCAGUGUAUCAUCUGUGUCGAGAAUGAGACAAUUCUUUCCAUGUUUGUGUUCGUACUAACUAACAGUGUCCUGAUAAGAAUGAAGCUCUGGAGUCUAUUGG
This is a long non-coding RNA of Mastomys coucha (southern multimammate mouse), 1984 nucleotides long. RefSeq lists it as uncharacterized. The transcript is spliced from 2 exons. The record is from RefSeq and is a predicted model, not a curated record. NCBI's taxonomy places the organism in Eukaryota, Metazoa, Chordata, Mammalia, Rodentia, Muridae.